CCUACGGGUGGCAGCAGUGAGGAAUAUUGGUCAAUGGGCGCGAGCCUGAACCAGCCAAGUCGCGUGAGGGAGGACGGCCCUACGGGUCGUAAACCUCUUUUGCCGGGGAGCAACGGGCGUGACGAGUGGCCCCACUGGGAGUACCCGGAGAAAAAGCAUCGGCUAACUCCGUGCCAGCAGCCGCGGUAAUCCGGAGGAUGCGAGCGUUAUCCGGAUUUAUUGGGUUUAAAGGGUGCGUAGGCGGAUCGUUAAGUCAGUGGUCAAAUUGAGGGGCUCAACCCCUUCCCGCCAUUGAAACUGGCGCUCUUGAGUGGAAGAGAAGUACGCGGAAUGCGUGGUGUAGCGGUGAAAUGCAUAGAUAUCACGCAGAACCCCGAUUGCGAAGGCAGCGUGCCGGCUUCCGACUGACGCUGAAGCACGAAAGCGUGGGGAUCGAACAGGAUUAGAUACCCUAGUAGUC
RNAcentral lists this ribosomal RNA (460 nucleotides) under uncultured bacterium. Its description in RNAcentral is "partial 16S ribosomal RNA". It matches the Rfam family "Bacterial small subunit ribosomal RNA", at positions 338 to 795 of the family's 1533-position model. The record is from RNAcentral.